This 1243-nucleotide ribosomal RNA is filed under the name metagenome. RNAcentral describes it as "SSU rRNA". It matches the Rfam family "Eukaryotic small subunit ribosomal RNA", at positions 518 to 1790 of the family's 1831-position model. The record is from RNAcentral.
GUACAGUUUAAAACCCUUAACGAGGAUCUAUUGGAGGGCAAGUCUGGUGCCAGCAGCCGCGGUAAUUCCAGCUCCAAUAGCGUAUAUUAAAGUUGUUGCAGUUAAAAAGCUCGUAGUUGGAUCUCGGGUACUAGCAUGUGGUACGCUUAAUUGCUGUUACUGCUUGUCUAGUCCUAAUCAAUCGGUUGGCCGUUUAUGCCCUUUAUUGGGUGUUUUCGGUAGCCGGUACGUUUACUUUGAGAAAAUUAGAGUGCUUAAAGCAGGCUUUACGCCUGAAUAAUGUUGCAUGGAAUAAUAGAAUAGGACCUCGGUUCUAUUUUGUUGGUUUUGUAGAGCAUUGAGGUAAUGAUUAAUAGGGACAGACGGGGGCAUUCGUAUUGCGGUGUUAGAGGUGAAAUUCUCGGAUCGCCGCAAGACGAACAACUGCGAAAGCAUUUGCCAAGAAUGUUUUCAUUAAUCAAGAACGAAAGUUGGAGGUUCGAAGACGAUUAGAUACCGUCCUAGUUCCAACCAUAAACGAUGCCAACUAGCGAUUAGCUGCUGUUAAUUAAACGACACAGCUAGCAGCUCCGGGAAACCAAAGUUUUUGGGUUCCGGGGGAAGUAUGGUUGCAAAGCUGAAACUUAAAGGAAUUGACGGAAGGGCACCACCAGGAGUGGAGCCUGCGGCUUAAUUUGACCCAACACGGGAAAUCUCACCCGGCCCGGACACUGUAAGGAUUGACAGAUUGAGUGCUCUUUCUUGAUUCGGUGGGUGGUGGUGCAUGGCCGUUCUUAGUUGGUGGAGCGAUUUGUCUGGUUAAUUCCGAUAACGAACGAGACUCUAGCCUGCUAAAUAGUACGCCGAUCUUUAGUCGGCGCGUUCUUCUUAGAGGGACAAGUAGCGGUUAGCUACACGAAAUUGAGCAAUAACAGGUCUGUGAUGCCCUUAGAUGUUCGGGGCCGCACGCGCGCUACACUGAAGGGAUAAGCGUGUUCUUCCUGCUCCGAAAGGAGUGGGUAACCCGCUGAAACCCCUUCGUGAUUGGGAUCGGGGCUUGAAAUUAUUCUCCGUGAACGAGGAAUUCCUAGUAAGCGCGAGUCAUAAGCUCGCGUUGAUUACGUCCCUGCCCUUUGUACACACCGCCCGUCGCUACUACCGAUUGAAUGGUUUAGUGAGAUCUUCGGAUUGGUCCGGGUGACCGAAAGGUUGCCUAGGUUCUGAGAAGAUGAUCAAACAUGAUCAUUUAGAGGAAGUAAAAGUC